This is a long non-coding RNA of Bacillus rossius redtenbacheri, 1605 nucleotides long. RefSeq lists it as uncharacterized. Lineage: Eukaryota; Metazoa; Arthropoda; Insecta; Phasmatodea; Bacillidae. The record is from RefSeq and is a predicted model, not a curated record. The transcript has 2 exons.
AAAUAACUUUAUCUCACCAUAGAUAUGGAUAGUAUCAGGAAGACUGUGCACUUCGCUAGUAGCAUCUAUGGCCAGCACCAAGCGAGACUAGUGGCGCAAACAAGAAAUGAUCAUGAAAAUGGUGCACGUGCUUUACCAAGUUACAGAAAAGCAGGCUUUGGUGAUCAGCAAGAUGAUGGUAUUUCCGCUGAAAAAUCUUUUGAGGACAGUGGAUCUGAUGCAGGAGCUUCUACAUGCAGUAAAAUCUGGAAGACUCUUCGAGAGCAACUGAAAAUUUCAUGACUUUAUAAGAUUAUGUCUUAGUUGAUGAUGCGGUCCUGCCAUGUUAGCCACAAACUGGAGAAGAUUCAUGUGCACAGUACAAGGCCUGUUUAGCAGAAGAUGAGAUUGAUGAUGAAGGUGACUCCCCUUUCAUGGCAAAAUACCCUGUUUUAUCGCAUAAUCGUCGCACCUAUAAUUUAGGGUGUAAAAAUUUAGAUACUAAACCUCUCGCGUAAAAGUCGCAUGAUGUUUUUGGUCCCGCUAUUAGAAUCCGAGCGCUUUGUGUAGGUAUCUUUUCCAUAUAAAACAAUGUGUUUCAAAGUCAAAAUAGAAAUCUAAUAUUUAUUUGGACAUUACCACUUAUUUAAUUAACAAAAAUACGAAGUUGUCUGAUGUGUAAAUUUUCUUUUAAAGACGUUUAUAAAAGUUAUAACCUGUAUCUGUUUGUCUGCGUCGCUGCAGUGCACCACUUAUAAAAAUGUAGCCAGCGCUAGUUGACAUCAUUCACGUUUUGUUAUAUCUCUUCCCAUAUAGAGCGUGCGCACAUAGUCGAAUAUCGAUACUGAUAUCUCGUCGAUUGCAUGCAACGCACACUCCCUGUCGAGAGCUGAGUUGACAUUUGUUGGCCCACACUCUUUCGUAGUGUGUACUACGACGAUAGUUAUGCGUUAGUUCAGGCUAGCAUUCACAUUUUGUUUUUCUAUUUAAAGUUGAAGAAAGGUUUUCGUUGCAUGACUUAUUAAGUUAAAUUGUUCUGCGUGCUUUUAUAUACUCCACUUUUUAAAUAAACUUACUUUCCAUGAAUGGGUUUUGUUUUUGUGAAUAACUUUACCUAACAAAAAAAAAUUUUUUUUCCGUAUAAACGCCACACCACUACUUUUCAAACAUGAUUUUAGUAUAAAAUGUGCAACAAUUAUGCGAUAAAGCACGGGAAGACCUGAGAACUUGAAAAUUUUGUGAUGCAUCAGAUUGAAAUAAUCUUAAAACCAACUACUCUUACCCAAUAUUUUACAAAGCAAUAAGAGUUUUUUUUUGCUAUGAUUGUUUAGUUUUGAAUACUGAUUUCAUUUGUGCUUAUUUAAUUAAAUUCAGUUUAAAUAAUUAGGUUUCCUGAUAUACAUGUAUAGAUUUUCCAACAUGCUGAACGUAAUGAGAGAAAUAAGUGUAAUUUUGAGUUAAUUCAGUGUGUCAGAGUGAAAUUUGUUUUUAUGUUCUAACUGAUUUUGAACUAUUUCCCUCAAAAAUGUUUUUCCUGAUAAUUUUUUUGCAUUUAGUCCCUUGAAAAACAUCUUAACAAAGUUUUACAAUAUUAAAUUUUAAAAAAUUUUGCACUUAACCUAUAAA